Triticum aestivum (bread wheat) is the source of this 2002-nucleotide RNA transcript. RefSeq lists it as uncharacterized. The record is from RefSeq and is a predicted model, not a curated record. The transcript is spliced from 3 exons. Lineage: Eukaryota; Viridiplantae; Streptophyta; Magnoliopsida; Poales; Poaceae.
GGUGUGACCUAGCCGUCGCUCCUCCCACAUUCGCUCAUCCCACCUCCUCCUCUCCCUCCCGCGAUCCCCUCUGCCUCGCACGCCGCCACCGCUCGCCCUCACGCCGCCUCCGCCUCAGCUCGCCCUCGCGCCGCUGCCGCCUCUGCCCCCGCUCGCCCUCGCUCCGCUGUCGCCUUCGCCUCCGCUCGCCCUCAUCUCUGCUCAUUAGGAGGAGCGCGGCUCACCGCUGGACCUCGCGAGAGAGGUCAGGGUUAGGGUCUCGGCCCGGGGUGGCUACUGCGGAGCUCCUGGCGGGCUACCUGCUCUGCCUGCUCGCGCUUGCGGUGGCCAAGGCGACCACGCUGCUCUGGGUCAUGCAUCGUCGCUCCACUCCACGAUGCCAUGUUGCUCCCCCGCGCCUCCUCCCGGUCCUCCAGGUCCACUCUCCCGCGCAGCUCCCCCGCUCCUUCCUCGCAGUCCUAAAAUCCUUUCUUCCCUCCCAUGAGCGCAGGAAGAAGAGGAUGCAUACGAAGUAAGGCUUUGGCUUUCCUCUCCUCCAAGUUCUUCCAGCAUGAGGCUGGAUGGAGUAGGAUUAGUUAGUGGAUCGGAUGCCAGAUGCGUGGAUGUGUGUUUGGGGGUUGCAAUCAGUCAGAUUUGUACUGUACUACUUCUGCUUGAACUCUAAAAUUCAGUAAGGUUGGGGUUCCUUGCUCUGUUGAAUUCUUCUGUGUGUAAAAGGGGGACCGAGUGAUCCAGAUGACAUAUCUUAAUUUUUGUGCUGUGAUUGAAUUGCAGUUGCUCGGUACUGUGAGAACGUGGAGAUGUGCAGGCUCACAGAGUGGAUAAGUUGUAGAUUGUGUAUGGAUAAGUAAGAUAUGUGGCUGCUAGGUGCAGGUUUGUAAUUUUGUUUUAAUUGUAGGGACAUGUAGGUCCUUUAUUUGUAUUUCGGGCUCUUGUACUAAUGUUCAGGGCAGUGGAAAUCUUGUAUAAUAAUCCGUACGUAGUUGAGACUAACAACAGAACGAUGACAUGUUUGUUUUUGGGCAAGAAUUUAUCAUGGGGUGUGGGUGGUAAAGGAAUAAAGAAGGUUGAUAUUCUUUUAAUCUUUCUAAUUCAUUCUACCACAGUUAUAUGGAAUGCUCUACUUCCAAAUAGUUACAUGGAAAUGUCCACUGUCCAUACACAAUGAACUCCAACUUUCUCCAAAUAUUGUAUAUUAACCCAAGAUGAUUUUUAUUUCAUCUAAAUGAUUUUAUAGGUACACAAAGAUGAUGAGGUCAGAGCCUUGUUUAAGCAAGUGCAAGGAGAAGUCCCUGGAUUGCCUAUAAUCAUUAUGAAGGUGGCAUCUCAGGAACCUUCUAUUGAGUUGUUUUACUGGCUUAAUUUGGCCGCUCUUGAGCAUCCAGCAGCUCUGUAUCCGAAGACUGUCACCAUUUGUAAAUACUACGUACUUGUUGCUAUGUAAGAAAACCAUACAUCCAACAACUGCCAAUGGGGCGCGCCACGAUGUGUGUUGGCGGGCUCCAUUCUUUGCUCCAGGCAAGUCUCUUUUCCUGGUUAAAUCUUCAUAAUUGUUUAUGUAACCAAUUUAGGCUUUGAUUUCCUUAGCAAUGUGCACAUCAUGUGUUUUAUGCGAUGUACAACAGGAAUCAUUGUACUCGACGGUCUCUGUUUUCUAUAAGUGAGGAGCAUAACAUGGCUAUGGUAGAUUCCAUGUGUCAUGUUCUUGACCUAAAUAGUCCAUCGUUGGAACUGAUGUUCAUGCGAACCUUACCAUAAAGCUUAUGUUUCAGGUACAAGUAUGUUGGCUUGAGAAGCAUCAGAACUAAAGGUUGAAUAUAAGCAAGUGAAAUUCUAACAACCUCAAUAUUCUGUGGUGUCGACCUGGUGUCAUACUACUUAAUUAACUCAUUGUGUGCCAUACCCCUGGCCGUGAUGCCCAUGACUUCAGUCCUUGCUUGUGAUAUGUCUCCAACGUAUCUAUAAUUUUUGAUUGUUCCAUGCUAUUAUAUUACCCUUUUUG